UGCAGUCGAACGGUAACGAUGGAAAGCUUGCUUUCCAGGCGACGAGUGGCGGACGGGUGAGUAAUACAUAGGAAUCUGCCCAGUAGCGGGGGACAACGUGUGGAAACGCACGCUAAUACCGCAUACGCCCUACGGGGGAAAGCGGGGGACCUUCGGGCCUCGCACUAUUGGAUGAGCCUAUGUCUGAUUAGCUAGUUGGUAGGGUAAAAGCCUACCAAGGCGACGAUCAGUAGCUGGUCUGAGAGGAUGAUCAGCCACACUGGGACUGAGACACGGCCCAGACUCCUACGGGAGGCAGCAGUGGGGAAUAUUGGACAAUGGGCGCAAGCCUGAUCCAGCAAUGCCGCGUGUGUGAAGAAGGCCUGAGGGUUGUAAAGCACUUUCAAUUGUGAAGAAAAGUUUAAGGUUAAUAACCUUAAACCCUGACGUUAACUUUAGAAGAAGCACCGGCUAACUCCGUGCCAGCAGCCGCGGUAAUACGGAGGGUGCGAGCGUUAAUCGGAAUUACUGGGCGUAAAGAGUACGUAGGUGGUUUGGUAAGUCGGAUGUGAAAGCCCUGGGCUCAACCUGGGAACUGCAUUCGAUACUGCCAGCCUAGAGUAUAGUAGAGGGAAGUGGUAUUCCGGGUGUAGCGGUGAAAUGCGUAGAUAUCCGGAGGAACACCAGUGGCGAAGGCGGCUUCCUGGACUAAUACUGACACUGAGGUAC
Molecule: ribosomal RNA, 708 nt
Filed under: uncultured bacterium
Lineage: Bacteria
Description: bacterial SSU rRNA
Rfam family: Bacterial small subunit ribosomal RNA
Source: RNAcentral